Molecule: ribosomal RNA, 465 nt
Filed under: uncultured bacterium
Lineage: Bacteria
Description: bacterial SSU rRNA
Rfam family: Bacterial small subunit ribosomal RNA
Source: RNAcentral
CCUACGGGAGGCACCAGUGGGGAAUAUUGCACAAUGGGCGCAAGCCUGAUGCAGCCAUGCCGCGUGUAUGAAGAAGGCCUUCGGGUUGUAAAGUACUUUCAGCGGGGAGGAAGGUGUUGUGGUUAAUAACCACAGCAAUUGACGUUACCCGCAGAAGAAGCACCGGCUAACUCCGUGCCAGCAGCCACGGUAAUACGGAGGGUGCAAGCGUUAAUCGGAAUUACUGGGCGUAAAGCGCACGCAGGGGGGCUGUCAAGUCGGAUGUGAAAUCCCCGGGCUCAACCUGGGAACUGCAUUCGAAACUGGCAGGCUAGAGUCUUGUAGAGGGGGGUAGAAUUCCAAGUGUAGCGGUGAAAUGCGUAGAGAUCUGGAGGAAUACCGGUGGCGAAGGCGGCCCCCUGGACAAAGACUGACGCUCAGGUGCGAAAGCGUGGGGAGCAAACAGGAUUAGAUACCCUGGUAGUC